GAACCGUGCGAACGUUGUUCGGAAUCACUGGGCUUAAAGGGCGCGUAGGCGGGCUGCCAAGUCUGGGGUGAAAUCCCACGGCUCAACCGUGGAACUGCCUCGGAUACUGGCGGCCUCGAGGGAGGUAGGGGCGUGCGGAACUGUGGGUGGAGCGGUGAAAUGCGUUGAUAUCCACAGGAACUCCGGUGGCGAAGGCGGCACGCUGGACCUUUUCUGACGCUGAGGCGCGAAAGCCAGGGGAGCAAACGGGAUUAGAUACCCCGGUAGUCCUGGCCCUAAACGAUGGGUACUAGGUAGUAGACUUGACAUGGGUUUACUGCCGAAGCAAAAGUGCUAAGUACCCCGCCUGGGGAGUAUGGUCGCAAGGCUG
RNAcentral lists this ribosomal RNA (370 nucleotides) under uncultured bacterium. RNAcentral's name for it is "bacterial SSU rRNA". It matches the Rfam family "Bacterial small subunit ribosomal RNA", at positions 527 to 896 of the family's 1533-position model. The record is from RNAcentral.